ACAUUUAUUCAAUAUGGAAUAAAUCAAUCAAUUUUGUCAACUGUAUAGUUUUAAAUAUUAUUGCAAAAGUAUAAGUUAUUUAGUAAGUAAUAGCUAUUACUAAAUUUAUUCAUAAAACUCAUUAUUUGCAGCAUAAUAAACAAAAAAUACAAUGCAAAGUUGGAACCAUAAAAGAAAUAUUUACUGAUUGCACGGUACACAGAAUUAAUUUGCGCCAACAAUAAAAGCUUAAAAAACUUUAAUUGAGCAUGGCGCACUCUAUGCGCCAACAAGACCACUUAAGUGUUAACGAUACCUUAUACAGUUACUGACGCUAAUUACUACGAAGCCACGUGGCUUAUUUAACUUUUCCAGGAAGAAACACGAUCUCGCAUGAUUGUAACUCUAACAGCAAUGAACUACAAGCUGUUCAAUGCUGCGCGCGAUAAAUCGAUCAUGAAUUAUCAAAUCGGUCGAUUUGAUAUGGAAAUGGAGUCCGAUGUCGAUUUAUCUUCUGACGGCCGUAGAAUCAUGCGUUCAACGAGCUGUUCACGACAUUCGCACGAACGUACAAAGCCGACCAAUUUGCCGGAUAAGCACUUAAGAAACACCGUCGCAUCUAUAGUAAGUCAUAUAUUUCUCUUUUAUAACAUAUUUUAUUGAUUUUUGUAUCGAAAGAACUAAAAUAAGUAUUUAUGUUAUAGUAAGCAAUGUAGAGUUAAAAUUCAAGUUAUAACGUUGAAAAUUAAUUUCAAUUACAAAUAUAUUCUACGAUUAUGUACUGGCAA
Molecule: long non-coding RNA, 767 nt
Organism: Wasmannia auropunctata (little fire ant)
Lineage: Eukaryota; Metazoa; Arthropoda; Insecta; Hymenoptera; Formicidae
Exons: 3
Source: RefSeq, a predicted model, not a curated record